CCUACGGGUGGCAGCAGUGAGGAAUAUUGGUCAAUGGACGAGAGUCUGAACCAGCCAAGUAGCGUGAAGGAUGACUGCCCUAUGGGUUGUAAACUUCUUUUAUAAAGGAAUAAAACGAGGCACGUGUGCCUUUUUGCAUGUACUUUAUGAAUAAGCAUCGGCUAACUCCGUGCCAGCAGCCGCGGUAAUACGGAGGAUCCGAGCGUUAUCCGGAUUUAUUGGGUUUAAAGGGAGCGUAGAUGGGUUGUUAAGUCAGUUGUGAAAGUUUGCGGCUCAACCGUAAAAUUGCAAUUGAUACUGGAAGUCUUGAGUACAGUUGAGGUAGGCGGAAUUCGUGGUGUAGCGGUGAAAUGCUUAGAUAUCACGAAGAACCCCGAUUGCGAAGGCAGCUUACUAAACUGUGACUGACACUGAUGCUCGAAAGUGUGGGUAUCAAACAGGAUUAGAUACCCCUGUAGUC
This 460-nucleotide ribosomal RNA is filed under the name uncultured bacterium. RNAcentral's name for it is "partial 16S ribosomal RNA". It matches the Rfam family "Bacterial small subunit ribosomal RNA", at positions 338 to 795 of the family's 1533-position model. The record is from RNAcentral.